UUUGCAAAAAAAUAAAUAAAAUGAUUUCUAUUCAAAACAAAAUUUGGUGGUGGCGCAACUUACGUUUUAAUAAAUCGUGAGCAAAGCUGCUAUGUCAAUAUUUUAAUCAAAAUAUAAUAAAAAGGCUUGUC
This 131-nucleotide non-coding RNA is filed under the name uncultured Paludibacter sp. RNAcentral describes it as "Bacteroid-trp". It matches the Rfam family "Bacteroidete tryptophan peptide leader RNA". Lineage: Bacteria; Pseudomonadati; Bacteroidota; Bacteroidia; Bacteroidales; Paludibacteraceae. The record is from RNAcentral.